RNAcentral lists this ribosomal RNA (513 nucleotides) under uncultured Alternaria. RNAcentral's name for it is "eukaryotic LSU rRNA". The stretch from base 168 to 321 matches the Rfam family "5.8S ribosomal RNA". Lineage: Eukaryota; Fungi; Ascomycota; Dothideomycetes; Pleosporales; Pleosporaceae. The record is from RNAcentral.
UACACAAAUAUGAAGGCGGGCUGGAACCUCUCGGGGUUACAGCCUUGCUGAAUUAUUCACCCUUGUCUUUUGCGUACUUCUUGUUUCCUUGGUGGGUUCGCCCACCACUAGGACAAACAUAAACCUUUUGUAAUUGCAAUCAGCGUCAGUAACAAAUUAAUAAUUACAACUUUCAACAACGGAUCUCUUGGUUCUGGCAUCGAUGAAGAACGCAGCGAAAUGCGAUAAGUAGUGUGAAUUGCAGAAUUCAGUGAAUCAUCGAAUCUUUGAACGCACAUUGCGCCCUUUGGUAUUCCAAAGGGCAUGCCUGUUCGAGCGUCAUUUGUACCCUCAAGCUUUGCUUGGUGUUGGGCGUCUUGUCUCUAGCUUUGCUGGAGACUCGCCUUAAAGUAAUUGGCAGCCGGCCUACUGGUUUCGGAGCGCAGCACAAGUCGCACUCUCUAUCAGCAAAGGUCUAGCAUCCAUUAAGCCUUUUUUCAACUUUUGACCUCGGAUCAGGUAGGGAUACCCGCU